RNAcentral lists this ribosomal RNA (468 nucleotides) under uncultured bacterium. Its description in RNAcentral is "partial 16S ribosomal RNA". It matches the Rfam family "Bacterial small subunit ribosomal RNA", at positions 28 to 507 of the family's 1533-position model. The record is from RNAcentral.
GACGAACGCUGGCGGCGUGCUUAACACAUGCAAGUCGAACGGAAAGGCCCUGCUUUUAUGGUGUGCUCGAGUGGCGAACUGGUGUGUAACACGUGGGUAACCUGCCCUUUACGUUAGGAUAACUUCAGAUAGCUGUGGCUAAUACCGGAUAGGAGCUCCUGCUGCAUAGUUGGGGUUGAAAAGUUUCGUCGGUUGGGGCUGUACUCGCGGCUUAUCAGGUUUUGGGUGGGGUAGUGGCUUACCUAGGCUUUGACGUGUAGCCGGCCUGAGAGGGUGACCGGAAAGACUGGGACGGAGCUAAGGAACAGACUAAUACGGGAGGGAGGAGAGGGGAAGAGUGCACAAUGGGAGGAAGGCUGAUGCAGUAAAGCCGCGCGCGGGAUGACGGCAUUCGGGUUGUAACCUGAUUUCCCCUGUGACGAAGAGUGAGUGACGGUAAUGGGUAAAGAAGCCCCGGCUAACUACGUG